RNAcentral lists this ribosomal RNA (197 nucleotides) under uncultured bacterium. RNAcentral's name for it is "partial 16S ribosomal RNA". It matches the Rfam family "Bacterial small subunit ribosomal RNA", at positions 1303 to 1500 of the family's 1533-position model. The record is from RNAcentral.
GGCUGCAACUCGCCUACAUGAAGUCGGAAUUGCUAGUAAUCGCGGAUCAGCAUGCCGCGGUGAAUACGUUCCCGGGCCUUGUACACACCGCCCGUCACACCAUGGGAGUCGGUAACACCCGAAGCCUGUAGUCUAACCGCAAGGAGGACGCAGUCGAAGGUGGGAUUNAUGACUGGGUGAAGUCGUAACAAGGUACC